This 497-nucleotide ribosomal RNA is filed under the name uncultured bacterium. RNAcentral's name for it is "partial 16S ribosomal RNA". It matches the Rfam family "Bacterial small subunit ribosomal RNA", at positions 28 to 507 of the family's 1533-position model. The record is from RNAcentral.
GAUGAACGCUGGCGGCGUGCCUAAUACAUGCAAGUCGAGCGAACAGACGAGGAGCUUGCUACUCUGACGUUAGCGGCGGACGGGUGAGUAACACGUGGAUAACCUACCUAUAAGACUGGGAUAACUUCGGGAAACCGGAGCUAAUACCGGAUAAUAUAUUGAACCGCAUGGUUCAAUAGUGAAAGACGGUGUUGCUGUCACUUAUAGAUGGAUCCGCGCCGCAUUAGCUAGUUGGUAAGGUAACGGCUUACCAAGGCAACGAUGCGUAGCCGACCUGAGAGGGUGAUCGGCCACACUGGAACUGAGACACGGUCCAGACUCCUACGGGAGGCAGCAGUAGGGAAUCUUCCGCAAUGGGCGAAAGCCUGACGGAGCAACGCCGCGUGAGUGAUGAAGGUCUUCGGAUCGUAAAACUCUGUUAUUAGGGAAGAACAAAUGUGUAAGUAACUAUGCACGUCUUGACGGUACCUAAUCAGAAAGCCACGGCUAACUACGUG